CUGAAGUUCACAUAUGUGCUGGCUGGCUGGGAGGGGUCAACGCAUGAUGCUAACAUUCUCACUGACAGCAUGAGUCGACCUGAUGGGAUCAACAUCCCCGACGUCAAGUUCUACCUUGGAGAUGCUGGCUAUGCAUGUCGGCCGGAUAUUCUUCCACCCUUCAGGAAAACAAGGUACCAUCUCAACGAGUUCUCUGGUAGGAACUAUCCUAGGACUGCACAUGAGCUGUUUAAUCUCAGACACUCCAGCCUUAAGUAA
RNAcentral lists this ribosomal RNA (258 nucleotides) under Triticum aestivum (bread wheat). RNAcentral describes it as "partial small subunit ribosomal RNA". Lineage: Eukaryota; Viridiplantae; Streptophyta; Magnoliopsida; Poales; Poaceae. The record is from RNAcentral.